UACAGAGGGGGCGAGCGUUGUUCGGAAUUACUGGGCGUAAAGGGCGCGUAGGCGGCCCGCUAAGUCGAACGUGAAAUCCCCAGGCUCAACCUGGGAACUGCGUCCGAUACUGGCAGGCUUGAAUCCGGGAGAGGGAUGCGGAAUUCCAGGUGUAGCGGUGAAAUGCGUAGAUAUCAGGAGGAACACCGGUGGCGAAGGCGGUGGUCUGGGCCGGCACUGACGCUGAGGAGCGAAAGCGUGGGGAGCAAACAGG
RNAcentral lists this ribosomal RNA (253 nucleotides) under uncultured bacterium. RNAcentral describes it as "partial 16S ribosomal RNA". It matches the Rfam family "Bacterial small subunit ribosomal RNA", at positions 524 to 776 of the family's 1533-position model. The record is from RNAcentral.